GGCGGCGUGCUUAACACAUGCAAGUCGAACGGAAAGGCCCUGCUUUUGUGGGGUGCUCGAGUGGCGAACGGGUGAGUAACACGUGAGUAACCUGCCCUUGACUUUGGGAUAACUUCAGGAAACUGGGGCUAAUACCGGAUAGGAGCUCCUGUUGCAUGGUGGGGGUUGGAAAGUUUCGGCGGUUGGGGAUGGACUCGCGGCUUAUCAGCUUGUUGGUGGGGUAGUGGCUUACCAAGGCUUUGACGGGUAGCCGGCCUGAGAGGGUGACCGGCCACAUUGGGACUGAGAUACGGCCCAGACUCCUACGGGAGGCAGCAGUGGGGAAUAUUGCACAAUGGGCGGAAGCCUGAUGCAGCAACGCCGCGUGCGGGAUGACGGCCUUCGGGUUGUAAACCGCUUUCGCCUGUGACGAAGCGUGAGUGACGGUAAUGGGUAAAGAAGCACCGGCUAACUACGUGCCAGCAGCCGCGGUGAUACGUAGGGUGCGAGCGUUGUCCGGAUUUAUUGGGCGUAAAGGGCUCGUAGGUGGUUGAUCGCGUCGGAAGUGUAAUCUUGGGGCUUAACCCUGAGCGUGCUUUCGAUACGGGUUGACUUGAGGAAGGUAGGGGAGAAUGGAAUUCCUGGUGGAGCGGUGGAAUGCGCAGAUAUCAGGAGGAACACCAGUGGCGAAGGCGGUUCUCUGGGCCUUUCCUGACGCUGAGGAGCGAAAGCGUGGGGAGCGAACAGGCUUAGAUACCCUGGUAGUCCACGCUGUAAACGGUGGGUACUAGGUGUGGGGUCCAUUCCACGGGUUCCGUGCCGUAGCUAACGCUUUAAGUACCCCGCCUGGGGAGUACGGCCGCAAGGCUAAAACUCAAAGGAAUUGACGGGGCCCCGCACAAGCGGCGGAGCAUGCGGAUUAAUUCGAUGCAACGCGUAGAACCUUACCUGGGUUUGACAUGGAUCGGGAGCGCUCAGAGAUGGGUGUGCCUCUUUUGGGGUCGGUUCACAGGUGGUGCAUGGCUGUCGUCAGCUCGUGUCGUGAGAUGUUGGGUUAAGUCCCGCAACGAGCGCAACCCUUGUUCACUGUUGCCAGCACGUUAUGGUGGGGACUCAGUGGAGACCGCCGGGGUCAACUCGGAGGAAGGUGGGGAUGACGUCAAGUCAUCAUGCCCCUUAUGUCCAGGGCUUCACGCAUGCUACAAUGGCUGGUACAGAGAGUGGCGAGCCUGUGAGGGUGAGCGAAUCUCGGAAAGCCGGUCUCAGUUCGGAUUGGGGUCUGCAACUCGACCUCAUGAAGUCGGAGUCGCUAGUAAUCGCAGAUCAGCAACGCUGCGGUGAAUACGUUCCCGGGGCUUGUACACACCGCCCGUCAAGUCAUGAAAGUUGGUAACACCCGAAGCCGGUGGCCUAACCGUCGUGGGGGAGCCGUCGAAGGUGGGACUGGUGAUUAGG
Molecule: ribosomal RNA, 1434 nt
Filed under: uncultured organism
Description: 16S ribosomal RNA
Rfam family: Bacterial small subunit ribosomal RNA
Source: RNAcentral